RNAcentral lists this ribosomal RNA (253 nucleotides) under uncultured bacterium. RNAcentral's name for it is "partial 16S ribosomal RNA". It matches the Rfam family "Bacterial small subunit ribosomal RNA", at positions 524 to 776 of the family's 1533-position model. The record is from RNAcentral.
UACAGCGGGUGCGAGCGUUAAUCGGAAUUACUGGGCGUAAAGCGUGCGUAGACGGUUAUUUAAGUCGGGGGUGAAAGCCCCGGGCUCAACCUGGGAAUUGCAUUCGAGACUGAAUAGCUAGGGUACGGUAGAGGGAAGUGGAAUUUCCGGUGUAGCGGUGAAAUGCGUAGAUAUGUGGAGGAACACCGAUGGCGAAGGCAGCCCCCUGGGUCAAAACUGACGCUCAUGCACGAAAGCGUGGGGAGCAAACAGG